AACGAACGCUUCCCCCCCGUCUAACACAUGCAAGUCGAACGAGACCUUCGGGUCUAGUGGCGCACGGGUGCGUAACGCGUGGGAACCUGCCCUUAGGUUCGGAAUAACUCCCCGAAAGGGGUGCUAAUACCGGAUAAUGUCUUCGGACCAAAGAUUUAUCGCCUUUGGAUGGGCCCGCGUUGGAUUAGCUAGUUGGUAGGGUAAAAGCCUACCAAGGCGACGAUCCAUAGCUGGUCUGAGAGGAUGAUCAGCCACACUGGGACUGAGACACGGCCCAGACUCCUACGGGAGGCAGCAGUGGGGAAUCUUGGACAAUGGGAGAAAGGCUGAGCCAGCAAUGCCGGGUGAGUGAUGAAGGCCUUAGGGUUGUAAAGCUCUUUUAACCGGGAUGAUAAUGACAGUACCGGGAGAAUAAGGUCCGGCUAACUCCGUG
This 433-nucleotide ribosomal RNA is filed under the name uncultured bacterium. RNAcentral's name for it is "partial 16S ribosomal RNA". It matches the Rfam family "Bacterial small subunit ribosomal RNA", at positions 29 to 507 of the family's 1533-position model. The record is from RNAcentral.